Long non-coding RNA from Bos taurus (domestic cattle), 2390 nucleotides. The record is from Ensembl. NCBI's taxonomy places the organism in Eukaryota, Metazoa, Chordata, Mammalia, Artiodactyla, Bovidae.
CCCAUUGCUAUAUGUCAGUUGCAUCUCAGUGAAGUUGGGAAAAAAAUAAGCAUCUCAUUCUUUUACCAGGACAACCUGUGCAGAGGAGUAAGUUGCUGAUGAUCAAACUUAAGGCUGUUUUAACACAUGAAACAGUGAUGAAAUCCUAGAGGGUGUAUUUCAACAGCCAUGGUCCCCUCUACCACUUGCAUUCCUUUAAGUUCAUGUGAGAAAGAGGAUGAGAGUCUGGUGAGAGUGCAGUCAGUCUGGGAGAGUCAAAUGCAGUUUUUUCUUCUAGGUAGAUGGGGCCCUGGAUAAUUGGACCCAGGUGCCUGGAAGAGAGGCCACAAAGCUUUCAAGGUAUAAUCAAGCCUACUUAAGAUUAUAAACAGCACGUGUCCUUUGCUUGUCAGAGCGCUCUCAGCCUCACCUCUGACAGGACUCUCCAGUUCUUUCCCUUCAAACAAAAGUCCUCGCCUCCUCCUGCUGUUUCCACAACCCAGUUCCCAUGACUUUUGUUCUUCCCACUGCUGAAGGGAUUCUGCUUCAAUCCCUUUUCCCAAUCCCAGAAUCAAUCAGAUGCAUCUCCAGUGUCAAGGAUUCCUGGCAGGAGCCCCAAAUGGGCAAGAGUGGAGUCCAGGUCCUCUGCACAGAUGGAGUUGGCCCUUGGCGGCCCUGCACAACACAAGAUCACGGCAGGGCCACGAUCUUGGCUAACUCCACAGUGGCUGUCAAGCUCGCAGUACAAUGCCUGGCAUACUGGAGUUCAAAAAACCACACCAAGGACUCAUCACAGCUGACACCUGACGCUCACAGGUUAAGAACAUGCAAUUUUGAUGAAUCUGCCCAAACUUCAGCACCCAUGAAAUUCAAGUCUUUCAUUUUCUGGAAGCUCAAAUUUGAAUUUCCUCUUUGUGAGGCUAAUCCGUGGGAAAUAGUCAUUGAGCUGAGUCCACUGUUCAAUUUCAAAGCAACUUGGUGUAUUUGGACAGGGAUAUAAACUCUCCUCAGGGGACAGAAGGAACUCCUAACAUUCUCACUUAUACCCUGCUGUAAUUUCUGGAGGAAAUUAUAUGCUAUGCAGUGGUCCCCAAACUUUUGACCCCAGGGACCGGUUUCGUGGAAGACAACUUUUCCACAGAUCAGGCGGAGGGGGAUGGUUUUGGGAUGAUUCAAGUACAUUCUAUUUAUUGUGCUCUGUCCAUGGAAUUCUCCAGGCAAGAGUACUAGAGUGGGUAGCCAUUCCCUUCUCCAGCGGAUCUUCCCGACGCAGGGAUCAAACCUGGAUCUCCUGCACUGCAGACAGAUUCUUUACCAUGCUAGGAACCCAGGAGGAGCCUGGGAGCCCAGCAGGCAGCAAGCACAGUGUGCAUUUGGGGAUGGAGUGACCCUGCCGUGAUCUGUGCAUGAGGAGGGAAGGCAUCCACUUUUUUCUCCCCAAAUGAAUAAAGGUCUCCUGUAGAGCCCUUUUACAGAGACGUCCAACCAGAUUAAGCAGGCAAUGAAGACCCAACAAACGGUGGCUUAAAUAAGAUGUGACUCACAGGCAGCAGGCCAGCGUUAGUGCAAUGUCUGCUGGGACUCAUCAAACACCUGGCUGCUUCGCUAUUUCUGCUCACCAGCCCGGUAUUCUGCAGUUCUUUUCUUGGGGAAAGAGGCUGCUCCCGGUGUCCACACUCACAGCUAAAGGACAGGAGGUCAACAAGGUGCAAUUGCUUAACGGCCGACCCCAGCGAGGUCUGCUCACAUCUUGUUGGCCAGAAGUGGAUCACGUUGCCCGUCCUGACUGCAAUGGAAUCUGGGAAGCUGAAUGGUUUAACUGACGGCACAGCUGCAGCUUACAGUAAAAUCAAGGUUCUCUUGGUGUGGAAGAAGGGGAUAAUAAACAGGAGUGUUGGUCACAAAAGUGUAAAGGCCAAAAAUACAAACAUAUUUCCAACUCUGAUACCUCCCUCUCAUCAGCAAUGUUUCUCCUUGUCUACAGAUUCCCAGUGGUAAUGGUCCACGCUCUUGCAAAUCCCAGCCAGUUCAAUUUGACUAUACAAUGUCAGAGGCCCUGCAUUACCUCCCUCCUAUCUACUCACUUUCCCAGGAGUGAUGUUCCUGGCAUCUUUUAAGACUCUAAAAUAACAUAAGUACUUGGGGGUGGGGUGGGGCAGAACAUUCCCUGGACUCCAUGGGCUGUCUUCAGGGUUGAGGGCUGGAUAUUCCCGAGGAGCAGAAUUGGAUGCAAAUUCCUUCUCACUCUGCUGCUCUUCCAGCCCCCUUCUGCCAGCCCCCCUCCCCCCGACACAGCAGUCCUCUGAGGAUUGUAUCAUGGGAUUGUCUCCAUCAGUGCAUUUCUUACAAACAUCUGGUGGUACAGCCUUGCCUGUUCCAAUGCUCUGAGUCUCAGACCACAGGCGUUCUCC